Molecule: ribosomal RNA, 466 nt
Filed under: uncultured Oomycota
Lineage: Eukaryota; Oomycota
Description: LSU rRNA
Rfam family: Eukaryotic large subunit ribosomal RNA
Source: RNAcentral
GUGCGAGACCGAUAGCGAACAAGUACCGUGAGGAAAAGAUGAAAAGAACUUUGAAAAGAGAGUUAAAGAGUACCUGAAACUGCUGAAAGGGAAGCGAAUCGUAUCCAGUGUCUAUAAUCUGCGGCAUAUUUCAUUGGCGGCAGUGUGCGUGCUUUUGCGUCGGAAGCGGCUUUUGUUGCUCUGUGCUUUUGCUGAGCGUGGCGUUGCUGGUGCCCUGUGUUGCGGUGGGACGUCAGAGUCAGUUUGUAUGCUGCGGGAAAUGGCUGCCGAGGAGGUAGGUCGAGAUUUCGGUCUUGGCUGUUAUAUCUUGGUGGUUUGUUGUCGUGGUUGAGACUGAGGUGCCUACAAUGUGCUUUUGAGUGUACCGGGUCCUCAUUUGGUGGACUGUUUGGAUAGCUUGCUAUGCUUGUGGUUUUUUCAUCGAGUGAUUGAGUCUGGUGGUAACUUGUUGCUGUUCGGGACUUUG